UACAGAGGUCCCGAGCGUUGUUCGGAUUCAUUGGGCGUAAAGGGUGCGUAGGCGGCGAGGUAAGUCUGAUGUGAAAUCCCGGGGCUCAACCCCGGAACUGCAUUGGAUACUGCCUUGCUAGAGUACUGGAGAGGGAACUGGAAUUACGGUGUAGCAGUGAAAAUGCGUAGAGAUCGAUAAGGAAGGCCAGUGGCGAAGGCGAGUUCCUGGACAGUCACUGACGCUGGAGGCACGAAAGGCCCAGGGGAGGCAAA
Molecule: ribosomal RNA, 254 nt
Filed under: uncultured bacterium
Lineage: Bacteria
Description: partial 16S ribosomal RNA
Rfam family: Bacterial small subunit ribosomal RNA
Source: RNAcentral